This 497-nucleotide ribosomal RNA is filed under the name uncultured bacterium. RNAcentral describes it as "partial 16S ribosomal RNA". It matches the Rfam family "Bacterial small subunit ribosomal RNA", at positions 28 to 507 of the family's 1533-position model. The record is from RNAcentral.
GACGAACGCUGGCGGCGUGCCUAAUACUUGCAAGUAGAACGCUGAAGAGAGGAGCUUGCUCUUCUUGGAUGAGUUGCGAACGGGUGAGUAACGCGUAGGUAACCUGCCUUGUAGCGGGGGAUAACUAUUGGAAACGAUAGCUAAUACCGCAUAACAAUGGAUGACACAUGUCAUUUAUUUGAAAGGGGCAAUUGCUCCACUACAAGAUGGACCUGCGUUGUAUUAGCUAGUAGGUGAGGUAAUGGCUCACCUAGGCGACGAUACAUAGCCGACCUGAGAGGGUGGUCGGCCACACUGGGACUGAGACACGGCCCAGACUCCUACGGGAGGCAGCAGUAGGGAAUCUUCGGCAAUGGGGGCAACCCUGACCGAGCAACGCCGCGUGAGUGAAGAAGGUUUUCGGAUCGUAAAGCUCUGUUGUAAGUCAAGAACGGGUGUGAGAGUGGAAAGUUCACACUGUGACGGUAGCUUACCAGAAAGGGACGGCUAACUACGUG